UUUUCCUGAGGGGAAUUGAAAUGUCAUUGUACCCACUGGCCAGCGCCCUUUCCCACCUCAGCUGCUCUGGGCAAGGUCCAAGAGGUGACACCAAGGAGCUGCAGGCAGGAAUAUGGGAUGGUGACAGCCCUGGAGCAGAGCUCAGGCAGGCUGUGACCUGGUCAUGAAUGGACAUAUGCACGGAAAACACUGCUGCGAAUCUCAGGGAGCAAGAGGCGAAGCUGGAGUGUUGAAACAGGAGCAUCAGCUCUGGAAGCCCAGGCAGCAUCCUCAGGGAUUGCAGGCAGCCAGCCCCAUGCUUCCUUUUGGUGCAAAGGAGCCACCAAGCAGCGCUAAUGCCUGGCACGGCUCCCGCUUCCUGCGGCGAGCGCGGGGACAGAUGGUGCUCCAGGAAACACCUUGAGCUCCCACUGGCGCCUGUGCCUCCCACGAGGCUCGAUCUGGUGGUGAACCACGAGCACUCUGAGAGCUCCCAGCUUGCUCCGGCAUGCAGCCAGCUCCGUGUGCCAGCCAGAAACAGGGGCUUUCUCCUCAUUUUCCUGACCCAGCCUAGGUACACUGUCAGCAAGGGGAGCAAGAUCCAGCCACCACUACAACCACAGCAAAUGGUUUAACAUCAACCUACGCCAUGCCAAAGCAGGCCAGGUCUCAGCAUAAACCAACAGAUCAGCAUGGGCAUUAUUCAAGGGAAUCCCAUACACUGGGCUCCAUGCUGUAAAUGCCUGGUGCUGUCAGCAUCCAAACUGGUUAAUAUAAAACUAACAAUUAUAUCUUAUUGCUCUGCUGCUAUUUAGUUAUGUUUAGCUCCCACAUGGAAAAAAUCCCGAGGGGGAGCUGCCUGCAUUGGAAUGAAACCUAAAACAUUCCACGAACUGACAGCAGCAGAGGAAGCACUCCCUAGCCACAAGACUCUUUUCUCAUCCUAUUAACUCUUUUGUAGUACUGACACAAACAUCAGCAGGGGCCCAGCAAGACUGAAGCUGGAAUCCUUCACUGCUUCCCAAUGGCCUCCCCUGACCUGCUGGAGCACAGCCAGCCUCUGAGCACAGCUCUAAGAAGCUUUGCCAUUAGGUUGCUAGAUGCAGGAAUACCAAUUCCUGCAUUCUGCCCUCCUCUUUCUCCCUUCUCAGCUCUCCUGCAAGGGAAGAUCAACUCCAGAGCUGCCUACUUUCCAGAGGUUUGGAAAGCUCCCUGGGAUAGUGCAGAAGCGCCUGUCUGCAGCCAGCCAAGGUGUGCUGCUGGUCCCAACAGGAUCCAUCGGUGAUACUGAUGCCCACUCAAUCUGGACACCAGCAGUUGUCUGACUGGCCCCACAUCCAGGACAGCCUCGUGUUUCCUCCUGCCUCAAGGGUUUGGAAAACCUCCAAAGUUUGCAUUUAAGAGGUAUCUGCUCAAUCUCACUCAUGACAGAAGUCCUAGAAAGGAGACCUGGGAUCGACAGGCUUCAGUUAUCAAUACAACUCAAUAUUCGCAACCCACUUAAUUUCUGCUUCCCAGUUUUCAUCUCUGAUUGUUACUUGCCAGUAGCACAGGGGAAUGAAACAGGAAUAAAGCUUGGAGUUCAAACUGGAA
Molecule: long non-coding RNA, 1572 nt
Organism: Parus major (Great Tit)
Lineage: Eukaryota; Metazoa; Chordata; Aves; Passeriformes; Paridae
Exons: 2
Source: RefSeq, a predicted model, not a curated record